RNAcentral lists this ribosomal RNA (468 nucleotides) under uncultured bacterium. Its description in RNAcentral is "partial 16S ribosomal RNA". It matches the Rfam family "Bacterial small subunit ribosomal RNA", at positions 28 to 507 of the family's 1533-position model. The record is from RNAcentral.
GACGAACGCUGGCGGCGUACUUAACACAUGCAAGUCGAACGGAAAGGCCCUGCUUUUGUGGGGUGCUCGAGUGGCGAACGGGUGAGUAACACGUGAGUAACCUGCCCUUGACUUUGGGAUAACUUCAGGAAACUGGGGCUAAUACCGGAUAGGAGCUCCUGCUGCAUGGUGGGGGUUGGAAAGUUUCGGCGGUUGGGGAUGGACUCGCGGCUUAUCAGCUUGUUGGUGGGGUAGUGGCUUACCAAGGCUUUGACGGGUAGCCGGCCUGAGAGGGUGACCGGCCACAAGGGGACUGAGAGACGGCCCAGAGUCCUACGGGAGGCAGCAGUGGGGAAUAUUGCACAAUGGGCGGAAGCCUGAUGCAGAAACGCCGCGUGCGGGAUGACGGCCUUCGGGUUGUAAACCGCUUUCGCCUGUGACGAAGCGUGAGUGACGGUAAUGGGUAAAGAAGCACCGGCUAACUACGUG